UUUUGUAAAAUUUGUUGUUUUAAAAAUGAAAGUUGUUUAAAUUAAUGGGAUGUUCCUUUGGCAUAAGGAGUUUAAGAGGGUGAAAGUUAUGGAGCACCCCAAAAACCAAGAUCUAUUUUAUUAGGGGUUAGAGAGAUUUGACCACAAAGUAAGAUAGUAAUGAUAUAUUUUCGUUUGGUUUAUAGGUGGAUUAAACAAGUACAGUUAAGUUGUAUGUUUUUCUUUAACUCCUAUUUUUUUUUUUUUAUUUUUUAAAGUAUGGUGUCUUUUUACUUAAUUUAGUGAAUUUAUAUUUUUGAAUGUUUUGUCUAGAUUUAUGUAUUCUAGAGUUAUUAUUUAAAUAUUAGUAGGAUUUUGUAUGGUUUUAGUGACAUUGUAUAUAACCUGAAAGACUAAACUGUUUGUCGAAUGUUUAAUAAAAACAUUUUUUAACUUAUGUUAGAUAGGCCCUGCUCAAUGAGUUAAAUAGCCGCGGUAUUUUGACCGUGCUAAGGUAGCGUAAUCACUUGGUUGUUUAAUGCAAUCUAGAAUGAAGGGGUUAACGGUAAAUUUGUGGUUUUAGGUUUUAACGGUAAUUUAAAUUUAUUGUGUAAAUUCAAUACAUAAAAUAAGACGGAAAGACCCCGUGAAUCUUUACAAUUUGUUGUUUAAUUGGGGUAAUUAUUGGUUGUUGAAAUACCAAGUAAAAAGAUACUCCGGGGGUAACAGGGCAAUCUUAAGGGUUUGCUACCUCGAUGUUGAAUCAUCCUUUUUUGUCUGUUCGACAAAUUUGAGGGUACGUGAUUUGAGUUUAGACCGGCGUGAGCCAGGUCGGUUCUUAUCUAAAUUUUUGGUUAAGUGGUACGAAAGGAUGCUUAGUCUAAGAUAAUUCUUGAU
This 876-nucleotide ribosomal RNA is filed under the name Acanthogyrus cheni. RNAcentral describes it as "large subunit ribosomal RNA". The stretch from base 609 to 824 matches the Rfam family "Bacterial large subunit ribosomal RNA", at positions 2076 to 2644 of the family's 2925-position model. Lineage: Eukaryota; Metazoa; Acanthocephala; Eoacanthocephala; Gyracanthocephala; Quadrigyridae. The record is from RNAcentral.